CCUACGGGUGGCAGCAGUGGGGAAUAUUGCACAAUGGGCGCAAGCCUGCUGCAGCCAUGCCGCGUGUGUGCAGAAGGCCUUCGGGUUGUAAAGCACUUUCAGCGGGGAGGAAGGCGUUAAGGUUAAUAACCUUGGCGAUUGACGUUACCCGCAGAAGAAGCACCGGCUAACUCCGUGCCAGCAGCCGCGGUAAUACGGAGGGUGCAAGCGUUAAUCGGAAUUACUGGGCGUAAAGCGCACGCAGGCGGUCUGUCAAGUCGGAUGUGAAAUCCCCGGGCUCAACCUGGGAACUGCAUUCGAAACUGGCAGGCUAGAGUCGUGUAGAGGGGGGUAGAAUUCCAGGUGUAGCGGUGAAAUGCGUAGAGAUCUGGAGGAAUACCGGUGGCGAAGGCGGCCCCCUGGACAAAGACUGACGCUCAGGUGCGAAAGCGUGGGGAGCAAACAGGAUUAGAUACCCCUGUAGUC
Molecule: ribosomal RNA, 465 nt
Filed under: uncultured Klebsiella sp.
Lineage: Bacteria; Pseudomonadati; Pseudomonadota; Gammaproteobacteria; Enterobacterales; Enterobacteriaceae
Description: bacterial SSU rRNA
Rfam family: Bacterial small subunit ribosomal RNA
Source: RNAcentral